Molecule: unclassified non-coding RNA, 1433 nt
Filed under: Leishmania donovani
Lineage: Eukaryota; Euglenozoa; Kinetoplastea; Trypanosomatida; Trypanosomatidae
Description: gene:LdHU3.15.1730(CDS-product:actin-related_prot ein_3_putative_arp3)
Source: RNAcentral
UGGGGCACACGCGACACGGGGAUGCGACAGCCUACCUUCGCUCUCCCCGCCAUCAUCACUAGCAUCAAAGACUUUGUGUGAGAUAAGAGGAGAGGUAAUGGCGUGCAGCUCCUGCGCCGCUUCGGUGGUGGUGUGCGACAUCGGCACGAGCACCACUCGUCUCGGCUACGCUGGCAACGCUGAGCCAACGUUUGCGUUGCCCACCGUAUGUGCGUGGCGGGACCGCAUGUCCGCUGAAACGUUCGCAGUUGGGGACGCAGCUGCCACGAUGGUCGGGCCCGGAGUGCAGCGGCGCAGACCGCUAGAGCACGGGCUGGUGGUGGACUGGGAUGUGAUGGAGGAGUACUGGCGCCACCUCUUCAACCGCUACGCCUGCGUCGAGCCGCAAGAUGUCGGUGUGCUGCUGACCGAGGCGGCCGUCACCCCGUACGAGCAGCGAGAGAUGACAGCGGAGAUUAUGUUCGAGAGUUUCGGGGUGCCGCGACUGUGCAUCGGCUCGCAGGCGCUCUUCGUGCUCAGCAGCGUUGGCGACGGGUGCGACACAGCUGUGGUGGUGGAGAGCGGCGCUGGCGUAACGCAGGUGGUGCCCAUUGUGGCGGGUUACGCCGUGGCCGGCGCGGCGCGUCGUUUUCCUGUGGCGGGCCGGGACAUCACGCAGUAUGUUCUGAAGAGCCUGCGGGAGCACGAGCGGGGUAUCGAGGCUGAGCAAGCGCUAGAGGUGGCGGAGCGGGUGAAAACGCGCUACGGCUACACGGCAGAUGACAUCGCGCGCGAGCUUGCGCGGGCGGAAUCGAGCUUGCCUUCCUACGUGAUCCAUCACACGGAGCUACACUCGCGCACUGGGGCCCCAUACUCUAUCGACGUGGGCUACGAGAGAUUCCUCGCACCGGAGACGAUGUUUCAGCCUGAUUUGCUCGCUGCACCGUCGGCUCUCACCGCCUCCGCGUGCGGCGGCCUACCCGCCGUGAUCGACUCUGUUGUGUGGUCCUGCCCGAUGGACGGCAGGCGGCCGCUGUACGCGAAUGUCAUCGUCUCUGGCGGCAACACGCGUUUCGCUCACUUUGCGAAGCGCCUGUAUCACGGGCUGCAGCGUGCCUUGGAUGAGCGUUCCGUCGGCGUCGGGCCCGCCCCGGGCAGCACUCUGGGCCGACAAGUCAAGUACGAGGUGAACGUGCGCGAUCAUUCACAGGCAACGCAUGCCGUGUGGAGAGGGGCCAGCGCCUUCGCCGCCAGCCCAGAGUAUGCGACGGCAGCCGUCGCGCGAGAGGCGUACAUGGAGUGUGGCGCCUCCGUGAUGCGCCAGCACCGCGUCUAGCGCAGCGGAGCACUCAGGCGGACGGGGACCUAUGCAUGCGCUUCGCUUCUGUGUUGGUGGUGCUUCGGGUUGCAUAUCUCUGUGUAUGUGUGCGCACCGCAGUAUCGGCUGUCGCGUC